RNAcentral lists this ribosomal RNA (361 nucleotides) under Pseudomonas putida LF54. RNAcentral describes it as "bacterial SSU rRNA". It matches the Rfam family "Bacterial small subunit ribosomal RNA", at positions 88 to 452 of the family's 1533-position model. Lineage: Bacteria; Pseudomonadati; Pseudomonadota; Gammaproteobacteria; Pseudomonadales; Pseudomonadaceae. The record is from RNAcentral.
UGAUUCAGCGGCGGACGGGUGAGUAAUGCCUAGGAAUCUGCCUGGUAGUGGGGGACAACGUUUCGAAAGGAACGCUAAUACCGCAUACGUCCUACGGGAGAAAGCAGGGGACCUUCGGGCCUUGCGCUAUCAGAUGAGCCUAGGUCGGAUUAGCUAGUUGGUGGGGUAAUGGCUCACCAAGGCGACGAUCCGUAACUGGUCUGAGAGGAUGAUCAGUCACACUGGAACUGAGACACGGUCCAGACUCCUACGGGAGGCAGCAGUGGGGAAUAUUGGACAAUGGGCGAAAGCCUGAUCCAGCCAUGCCGCGUGUGUGAAGAAGGUCUUCGGAUUGUAAAGCACUUUAAGUUGGGAGGAAGGG